AAUAAAAAUGAUAUCAUUAGAUUGCCAAUUUGAGCCGUGUAUGUUGAGUCUUUUAUUUCUUAUCACCAGAUAUGUCUACCCUUAUACCUGAAACAUUUUUUCCUUACCCUUUCCAAGCGAGCAAUGCGAGAUUGUCUUAUGAGAAACGUUUGUGAAGUACUUUGAAGGUGUUUGGCAAAAGAAUAAGUGUGGGGGUAUUUCAUGUUUGUAUUAAAAAAAAAAAAAAAAAAAAGAGAAAAGAGAAGAAAAGAAAAAGAAAAAGAAAGAUUGUAUACAAAUGAAAUAAAAAGUUUUUAAAGUUUCAGUUUAAGGGUGUGGUUGGAGGUGCUAGAAGAAUUGCUGGAGAGCUUGAGUUCUUAUAAAUCUAAAGAAAAGAAUUGCUUGCAAUGUAGCUUGGAACUUGUGUUUUCCUAUUCUAUCGUUUCAAUAACCCUAUCCCUAAACCUCAUUACAUCCAAUAAAAGUCCUCUUGAUUUAAGUUUUGCAAUUAU
RNAcentral lists this long non-coding RNA (491 nucleotides) under Malus domestica (apple). RNAcentral's name for it is "long non-coding RNA (MDOM_LNC020862)". Lineage: Eukaryota; Viridiplantae; Streptophyta; Magnoliopsida; Rosales; Rosaceae. The record is from RNAcentral.